This 252-nucleotide ribosomal RNA is filed under the name uncultured bacterium. RNAcentral describes it as "partial 16S ribosomal RNA". It matches the Rfam family "Bacterial small subunit ribosomal RNA", at positions 524 to 775 of the family's 1533-position model. The record is from RNAcentral.
UACGUAGGGUGCAAGCGUUAUCCAGGUUUACUGGGCGUAAAGCGCGCGCAGGCGGAUGAUUAAGUCAGCUGUGAAAGCCCCCGGCUCAACUGGGGAGGGUCGGCUGAAACUGGUCAACUUGAGGGCAGCAGAGGAGUGUGGAAUUGCGGGUGUAGUGGUGAAAUGCGUAGAUAUCCGCAGGAACACCGGUGGCGAAGGCGGCACUCUGGGCUGAACCUGACGCUGAGGCGCGAAGGCUAGGGGAGCAAACAG